UGAGCUGUGAUAAGGAUUGAUCAAUUUGGUUGUUUGCAUGAAUGAAGUAUUAUUUUUAUGCCUGGCUUCUGAGCUGC
This 77-nucleotide small nucleolar RNA is filed under the name Hordeum vulgare subsp. vulgare (domesticated barley). Its description in RNAcentral is "Small nucleolar RNA R24". It matches the Rfam family "Small nucleolar RNA R24". Rfam says of the family: snoR24 is a C/D box small nucleolar RNA which acts as a methylation guide for 18S ribosomal RNA in plants. Lineage: Eukaryota; Viridiplantae; Streptophyta; Magnoliopsida; Poales; Poaceae. The record is from Rfam by way of RNAcentral.